RNAcentral lists this ribosomal RNA (492 nucleotides) under uncultured bacterium. Its description in RNAcentral is "partial 16S ribosomal RNA". It matches the Rfam family "Bacterial small subunit ribosomal RNA", at positions 29 to 507 of the family's 1533-position model. The record is from RNAcentral.
AGUGAACGCUGGCGGUAGGCCUAACACAUGCAAGUCGAACGGCAGCACAGUAAGAGCUUGCUCUUACGGGUGGCGAGUGGCGGACGGGUGAGGAAUACAUCGGAAUCUACUUUUUCGUGGGGGAUAACGUAGGGAAACUUACGCUAAUACCGCAUACGACCUACGGGUGAAAGCAGGGGAUCUUCGGACCUUGCGCGAUUGAAUGAGCCGAUGUCGGAUUAGCUAGUUGGCGGGGUAAAGGCCCACCAAGGCGACGAUCCGUAGCUGGUCUGAGAGGGUGAUCAGCCACACUGGAACUGAGACACGGUCCAGACUCCUACGGGAGGCAGCAGUGGGGAAUAUUGGACAAUGGGCGCAAGCCUGAUCCAGCCAUACCGCGUGGGUGAAGAAGGCCUUCGGGUUGUAAAGCCCUUUUGGUGGGAAAGAAAAGCAGCAGGUUAAUACCCCGCUGUUCUGACGGUACCCAAAGAAUAAGCACCGGCUAACUUCGUG